CUAAGAUUGACAAAUUAAUACCAUGGCGACCUGUUAGUCAGGCUAGAGUGACUCAUACCCACAGCACUGUGUAGAUUUCAUCAGCGCCGUUGAAAAAGCUUAUGAGGAGUUCUCUGGCACAUUUUCAUGCCUCAUCUGGAUCCCUCACUUGUAGCUGUGUCAAACUUUGGCAGCCCCCAACAAGAAAAGGACAUAUAACAAAAACUAUUUGAAAGAUUAACACAAAAUGACCACAGGAUGUCGCUAGUGUCCAUGGAAUGACCAGAAGGUACUGUAUGAGGCGCAUAGGGCCCUACAUGAGCUGCUGUUAUGAAGGGUCGCGGGGGGGCUGGAGCCAAUCCCAGCUGACAUCGGGCGCAAGGCGGGGGAACCCUGGACAGGUCGCCAGUCCAUCGCAGAGCAGAGUGUCUGGAGAAUGGCGACCCCCUUUGUUCAUUCGGAGGAUGUGAGGGGCAGGCCAGCUGCUUUUAUCGCUGCUCCACAUAAACAGCUGCACAUCUGGGCAGGCUGAGUUGCCUCGGGGGAGCAGAAGGGAGGCUGAGGACCGGCUGCACGACGUGUAAAUGAACAAGGGCCUGAAGGGGACGGCAGUCGACAAGCACCCGUUGUCUUCUUGGCUGCUUUUCGAAGUAGGCUUAAGUUUCUUUGGGAUCUUAUUUGUUUCCUUGUUCUUCAUCAUUGUUCACUGCCUUUCCUGAUUGUUUCAAUAGAGAGCGAAUAUGAAAUACUCAUUGUU
This is a long non-coding RNA of Micropterus dolomieu (smallmouth bass), 736 nucleotides long. RefSeq lists it as uncharacterized. The transcript is spliced from 4 exons. The record is from RefSeq and is a predicted model, not a curated record. NCBI's taxonomy places the organism in Eukaryota, Metazoa, Chordata, Actinopteri, Centrarchiformes, Centrarchidae.